UACGGAGGGGGCUAGCGUUGUUCGGAAUUACUGGGCGUAAAGCGUACGUAGGCGGCUUUGUAAGUUAGAGGUGAAAGCCCGGGGCUCAACCCCGGGAGGCGGGCGGAUACUGUCGAGCUAGAGUCCGGAAGAGGCGAGUGGAAUUCCUGGUGUAGCGGUGAAAUGCGCAGAUAUCAGGAGGAACACCAAUAGCGAAGGCAGCUCGCUGGGACGGUACUGACGCUGAGACGCGAAAGCGUGGGGAGCAAACAGG
Molecule: ribosomal RNA, 253 nt
Filed under: uncultured bacterium
Lineage: Bacteria
Description: partial 16S ribosomal RNA
Rfam family: Bacterial small subunit ribosomal RNA
Source: RNAcentral